Long non-coding RNA from Tupaia belangeri chinensis (Chinese tree shrew), 640 nucleotides. RefSeq lists it as uncharacterized. NCBI's taxonomy places the organism in Eukaryota, Metazoa, Chordata, Mammalia, Scandentia, Tupaiidae. The record is from RefSeq and is a predicted model, not a curated record. The transcript is spliced from 3 exons.
GCAUGCGCCCUACAGUGAAAAUCUCUCCAAAAAAAAAAAGCUUCCUCCAUGGCAGUGGUAGCCGCCCUUCCUUCUCUGUGCCCCGUACCCCUAAGUCCACUCUGCCAGGUCUUCACGUCACUUCGUGUCCUAGUUGUUUUUCCAUACGCCUUGUCAAUGCCCCACUUACACGGACUCCCGGAACGAGACCGCGCUCCCAAGGGCAGCCUGAGCAACAUGGAAUGAAGCAGACAUUUCUCCGGACGGCAGAUCACUCAGCCUGUCCUUCGUGAAGCGUUUACCGAAACCCUUCCAGGCCAGCCUACGUAGCACAGCUGGGACACAACGCUCCACGGUGUUGAGGCCACACGGGAAGGUCCUGGGUUCACAACCUGAGGUUCCCUGUGUGGGCAGGCGUGCACAUGUGCCGGUGAUCCUGGCUGGCCGAGGGGGCCCCAGGGCAUGCCAGCGAUCACAGGGUCACCAGAAGGGAAGACGGAGUCCUGGUACCCAACAGUUCACCACCUAUGGAGGGCACCCAAGAGAUCCCCACAAAGUUAAAUGACAGAACGGCUAACUGCUCACCCGAGCCAGACCGAGCACGGACGUGGGUGACCCUGCAGUUGACCACAGUUCGAGUCCUGGAUCCGGUGGCUUAAAC